CCUACGGGUGGCAGCAGUGGGGAAUAUUGGGCAAUGGGCGCAAGCCUGACCCAGCAACGCCGCGUGAAGGAAGAAGGCUCUCGGGUUGUAAACUUCUUUUAUCAGGGACGAAGCAAGUGACGGUACCUGAUGAAUAAGCCACGGCUAACUACGUGCCAGCAGCCGCGGUAAUACGUAGGUGGCAAGCGUUAUCCGGAUUUACUGGUUGGAAAGGGCGUGUAGGCGGGAAAGCAAGUCAGAUGUGAAAACCAUGGGCUCAACCUGUGGCCUGCAUUUGAAACUUUUUUUCUUGAGUACUGGAGUGGCAGACGGAAGUCCUAGUGUAGCGGUGAAAUGCGUAGAUAUUAGGAGGAACACCAGUGGCGAAGGCGGUCUGCUGGACAGCAACUGACGCUGAGGCGCGAAAGCGUGGGGAGCAAACAGGAUUAGAUACCCUAGUAGUC
This 443-nucleotide ribosomal RNA is filed under the name uncultured bacterium. RNAcentral describes it as "partial 16S ribosomal RNA". It matches the Rfam family "Bacterial small subunit ribosomal RNA", at positions 338 to 795 of the family's 1533-position model. The record is from RNAcentral.